GGACAGUUUAUAUAUUUUGCUGCCUUCACUCAACCAAGUCCAAAGAUAGUAGAAAAAAUUGAAGUUGCUGCGCUUCUAUCUCCAAUACCACACUUGGAUCAUGUUAGUGCACCUCUGGUGCUUAGAUUGGUCAAGAUGUAAAUUGAUCAGGUGAUUCUGAGUUUCUUCUGCAUAUGUUUAUUCAUCCAAGUAUUUCUAGUCUAGAAAAUGUUCACUUUACUGUGAUACAUGUCUAAGUUGCAGUGACUCAAUGUCAUCCAUUUACACGUUCAUGUCUCUCAACAAUGGUGUUAAUUUUGUGUAGAUUACAUAAAAAUACUCUUGGUAAAUAUAUUCCACUAUCAGCAGUGCUUAUGUUGUGUAUGGCAUGCUAUAUCUUACCAAAGACCUUAUAUCUUUACAAAGAGCAAUGGUAGGUUGACCACCCCAUGUGGCAUACACCCCUUGUACCAGCAGAUGGGUGGAAUAAAAUUCGGUCACUCAUCAAAUAUAUCGAAUAAUUUCAAAGAGACUGCCUUUUUAACUUCAUCUAGAAAUUGCUGAACGUACUUUUAAAGUUUUGAUAUCUUGAAAGCAAUGAUCAUGUUGACUUCAUUUUAAGCUUGCAAGCAAAACAAGAUCUAUAUGACCCUAUUAUCAGUUUUUUCAAGUCGUUUGGGCAAUUUAGUAGUAUUUAAAGCUUGCUUCCUUCUACUAAGAUGAAUGUAAUAUAACAAUAUAUAGGCCCAUGUAUUAUAUUUACCCAUAUUGUCAUGUUAAAACAUUAAACAUACAGUGGAGUCUGUCUACUUUGAUCUUCUAUUUAUAAAUAUGGUGAUAACAGAUCCCACUGAAUUGGCUUAAAAUCUCUUAGGUAUUAGUAUUUAAUUAGUCUUUUGUUUCAAAUUGUUAUUCUAUUGGAACCAUAGAUUCCUUUUGUUCUUUC
This is a long non-coding RNA of Medicago truncatula (barrel medic), 925 nucleotides long. RefSeq lists it as uncharacterized. NCBI's taxonomy places the organism in Eukaryota, Viridiplantae, Streptophyta, Magnoliopsida, Fabales, Fabaceae. The transcript is spliced from 2 exons. The record is from RefSeq and is a predicted model, not a curated record.